Molecule: ribosomal RNA, 463 nt
Filed under: uncultured bacterium
Lineage: Bacteria
Description: bacterial SSU rRNA
Rfam family: Bacterial small subunit ribosomal RNA
Source: RNAcentral
CCAGACUCCUACGGGAGGCAGCAGUGAGGAAUAUUGGUCAAUGGGCGAGAGCCUGAACCAGCCAAGUCGCGUGAGGGAAGACGGUCCUAUGGAUUGUAAACCUCUUUUGCCGGGGAGCAAAAAGCGGUACGUGUACCGCAUCGAGAGUACCCGGAGAAAAAGCAUCGGCUAACUCCGUGCCAGCAGCCGCGGUAAUACGGAGGAUGCGAGCGUUAUCCGGAUUUAUUGGGUUUAAAGGGUGCGCAGGCGGAACCACAGGUGAGGGAUAAAUUGGGGGGCCUCACCCUCUCCCCGCCGUUGAAACUGCGUUCCUUGAGUGGGCGAGAAGUACGCGGAAUGCGUGGUGUAGCGGUGAAAUGCAUAGAUAUCACGCAGAACUCCGAUUGCGAAGGCAGCGUACCGGCGCCCAACUGACGCUCAUGCACGAAAGCGUGGGUAUCGAACAGGAUUAGAUACCCCAGUA